Molecule: ribosomal RNA, 477 nt
Filed under: uncultured bacterium
Lineage: Bacteria
Description: partial 16S ribosomal RNA
Rfam family: Bacterial small subunit ribosomal RNA
Source: RNAcentral
GAUGAACGCUAGCGGCGGGCCUAAUACAUGCAAGUCGAACGGGAAAGGUGGCAACACCUUGAGAGUGGCGUACGGGUGCGUAACGCGUAUACAACCUGCCUGUUACACGGGGAUAGCCUUGCGAAAGCGAGAUUAAUACCCGAUGGUACUAUUGAGCGGCAUCGCUUGGUAGUUAAAGCUGAGGCGGUAACAGAGGGGUAUUCGUCCCAUUAGCUAGUUGGUAGUGUAACGGACUACCAAGGCGACGAUGGGUAGGGGUUCUGAGAGGAUGAUCCCCCACACUGGUACUGAGAUACGGACCAGACUCCUACGGGAGGCAGCAGUAGGGAAUAUUGGGCAAUGGACGGAAGUCUGACCCAGCCACGCCGCGUGCAGGAAGAAGGUCCUCUGGAUUGUAAACUGCUUUUCUUGGGGAAGAAAACCCUUCUGCGGAAGGAAUUGACGGUACUCAAGGAAUAAGCAUCGGCUAACUCCGUG